GUGAAGCCAAGCUUGCUUGGUGGAUCAGUGGCGAACGGGUGAGUAACACGUGAGCAACCUGCCCUGGACUCUGGGAUAAGCGCUGGAAACGGCGUCUAAUACUGGAUAUGUGACGUGAUCGCAUGGUCGUGUUUGGAAAGAUUUUUCGGUCUGGGAUGGGCUCGCGGCCUAUCAGCUUGUUGGUGAGGUAAUGGCUCACCAAGGCGUCGACGGGUAGCCGGCCUGAGAGGGUGACCGGCCACACUGGGACUGAGACACGGCCCAGACUCCUACGGGAGGCAGCAGUGGGGAAUAUUGCACAAUGGGCGGAAGCCUGAUGCAGCAACGCCGCGUGAGGGAUGACGGCCUUCGGGUUGUAAACCUCUUUUAGCAGGGAAGAAGCGAAAGUGACGGUACCUGCAGAAAAAGCGCCGGCUAACUACGUGCCAGCAGCCGCGGUAAUACGUAGGGCGCAAGCGUUAUCCGGAAUUAUUGGGCGUAAAGAGCUCGUAGGCGGUUUGUCGCGUCUGCUGUGAAAUCCCGAGGCUCAACCUCGGGCCUGCAGUGGGUACGGGCAGACUAGAGUGCGGUAGGGGAGAUUGGAAUUCCUGGUGUAGCGGUGGAAUGCGCAGAUAUCAGGAGGAACACCGAUGGCGAAGGCAGAUCUCUGGGCCGUAACUGACGCUGAGGAGCGAAAGGGUGGGGAGCAAACAGGCUUAGAUACCCUGGUAGUCCACCCCGUAAACGUUGGGAACUAGUUGUGGGGACCAUUCCACGGUUUCCGUGACGCAGCUAACGCAUUAAGUUCCCCGCCUGGGGAGUACGGCCGCAAGGCUAAAACUCAAAGGAAUUGACGGGGACCCGCACAAGCGGCGGAGCAUGCGGAUUAAUUCGAUGCAACGCGAAGAACCUUACCAAGGCUUGACAUAUACGAGAACGGGCCAGAAAUGGUCAACUCUUUGGACACUCGUAAACAGGUGGUGCAUGGUUGUCGUCAGCUCGUGUCGUGAGAUGUUGGGUUAAGUCCCGCAACGAGCGCAACCCUCGUUCUAUGUUGCCAGCACGUAAUGGUGGGAACUCAUGGGAUACUGCCGGGGUCAACUCGGAGGAAGGUGGGGAUGACGUCAAAUCAUCAUGCCCCUUAUGUCUUGGGCUUCACGCAUGCUACAAUGGCCGGUACAAAGGGCUGCAAUACCGUGAGGUGGAGCGAAUCCCAAAAAGCCGGUCCCAGUUCGGAUUGAGGUCUGCAACUCGACCUCAUGAAGUCGGAGUCGCUAGUAAUCGCAGAUCAGCAACGCUGCGGUGAAUACGUUCCCGGGUCUUGUACACACCGCCCGUCAAGUCAUGAAAGUCGGUAACACCUGAAGCCGGUGGCCCAACCCUUGUGGAGGGAGCCGUCGAAGGUGGGAUCGGUAAUU
Molecule: ribosomal RNA, 1397 nt
Filed under: Microbacterium testaceum
Lineage: Bacteria; Bacillati; Actinomycetota; Actinomycetes; Micrococcales; Microbacteriaceae
Description: bacterial SSU rRNA
Rfam family: Bacterial small subunit ribosomal RNA
Source: RNAcentral